ACCUCAUGUUUUUUGCACAUCACGAAUAAAUCUUUCGCCUUUACUAAAGAUUUCCGUGUGUAAGAAACAACUGAAUGAGAUUUUAAGUAUUUAUCUUAUAGCCGGUCUUCUCUGACUGGU
RNAcentral lists this small nuclear RNA (120 nucleotides) under Lepeophtheirus salmonis (salmon louse). RNAcentral describes it as "U5 spliceosomal RNA". It matches the Rfam family "U5 spliceosomal RNA". From Rfam's summary of the family: U5 RNA is a component of both types of known spliceosome. The precise function of this molecule is unknown, though it is known that the 5' loop is required for splice site selection and p220 binding, and that both the 3' stem-loop and the Sm site are important for Sm protein binding and cap methylation. Lineage: Eukaryota; Metazoa; Arthropoda; Copepoda; Siphonostomatoida; Caligidae. The record is from RNAcentral.